UACAGAGGUCCCAAGCGUUGUUCGGAUUCACUGGGCGUAAAGGGUGCGUAGGUGGUGAGGUAAGUCGGAUGUGAAAUCUCCGAGCUCAACUCGGAAAUGGCAUUGGAAACUACCUUGCUCGAGGGUUGGAGGGGGGACUGGAAUGCUUGGUGUAGCAGUGAAAUGCGUAGAUAUCAAGCGGAACACCGGCGGCGAAGGCGGCCAACUGGACGAAUACUGACGCUGAGACACGAAAGCGUGGGGAGCAAACAGG
This 253-nucleotide ribosomal RNA is filed under the name uncultured bacterium. Its description in RNAcentral is "partial 16S ribosomal RNA". It matches the Rfam family "Bacterial small subunit ribosomal RNA", at positions 524 to 776 of the family's 1533-position model. The record is from RNAcentral.